This is a long non-coding RNA of Salarias fasciatus (jewelled blenny), 116 nucleotides long. RefSeq lists it as uncharacterized. The record is from RefSeq and is a predicted model, not a curated record. Lineage: Eukaryota; Metazoa; Chordata; Actinopteri; Blenniiformes; Blenniidae. The transcript has 3 exons.
GUUUCUACACGACCUUGCAUAGAUAAUUGAUUUGCAUUCACUUUUUGCAGCACUGCUUUGUGGUUGUGUUUUUAUGCUUUGUCCCACACACUUCAGCGUUUUAAAAUCAGCGAUAC